UAAUAAUUCUUCCAAUAAUUUAAU
This 24-nucleotide small RNA is filed under the name Arabidopsis thaliana (thale cress). Its description in RNAcentral is "ATSL138250". Lineage: Eukaryota; Viridiplantae; Streptophyta; Magnoliopsida; Brassicales; Brassicaceae. The record is from RNAcentral.